Molecule: small nucleolar RNA, 103 nt
Organism: Nycticebus coucang (slow loris)
Lineage: Eukaryota; Metazoa; Chordata; Mammalia; Primates; Lorisidae
Product: small nucleolar RNA U13
Exons: 1
Source: RefSeq, a predicted model, not a curated record
AUCCUUUUGUAGUUCAUAAACAUGAUGAUUGCGUUUUCACACACAUGCAUAAGAUGUGCCUCCCAAAAUCUUGUUACGACGUCAGUACAUUACCCGUCUGACG